Molecule: ribosomal RNA, 253 nt
Filed under: uncultured bacterium
Lineage: Bacteria
Description: partial 16S ribosomal RNA
Rfam family: Bacterial small subunit ribosomal RNA
Source: RNAcentral
UACGUAGGGUGCGAGCGUUAUUCGGAAUUACUGGGCGUAAAGCGUGCGCAGGCGGUUCGUUGUGUCGGCGGUGAAAGCCCCGGGCUUAACCUGGGAAUGGCCGUUGAAACUGGCGAACUGGAGUGUGGCAGAGGGGGGUGGAAUUCCGCGUGUAGCAGUGAAAUGCGUAGAGAUGCGGAGGAACACCGAUGGCGAAGGCAGCCCCCUGGGCUGACACUGACGCUCAUGCACGAAAGCGUGGGGAGCAAACAGG